Molecule: ribosomal RNA, 441 nt
Filed under: uncultured bacterium
Lineage: Bacteria
Description: partial 16S ribosomal RNA
Rfam family: Bacterial small subunit ribosomal RNA
Source: RNAcentral
CCUACGGGUGGCAGCAGUGGGGAAUAUUGCACAAUGGGGGAAACCCUGAUGCAGCGACGCCGCGUGAGUGAAGAAGUAUUUCGGUUUGUAAAGCUCUAUCAGCAGGGAAGAAAAAAGACGGUACCUGACUAAGAAGCCUCGGCUAACUACGUGCCAGCAGCCGCGGUAAUACGUAGGGGGCAAGCGUUAUCCGGAUUUACUGGGUGUAAAGGGAGCGUAGGCGGUAUGGCAAGUCAGAAGUGAAAGCUCAGGGCUUAACCCUGGGACUGCUGUGGAAACUGUUAGACUAGAGUGCUGGAGAGGUAAGUGGAAUUCCUGGUGUAGCGGUGAAAUGCGUAGAUAUUAGGAGGAACACCAGUGGCGAAGGCGGCUUACUGGGCAGUAACUGACGUUGAGGCUCGAAAGCGUGGGGAGCAAACAGGAUUAGAUACCCCUGUAGUC